This 313-nucleotide long non-coding RNA is filed under the name Brassica napus (rape). Its description in RNAcentral is "long non-coding RNA (BNAP_LNC005552)". Lineage: Eukaryota; Viridiplantae; Streptophyta; Magnoliopsida; Brassicales; Brassicaceae. The record is from RNAcentral.
GAACACGGCGACGGGAGCUGCUGCUGCGGCGGCUUGUCCUGGGUUUGGUGCGCUGUAAACAAACUGAACAGAAGAGAAGAAGAGUUUGCCAAAGGUAGUAGGAAGAAUGAGGUUGACUUUAAGUAAGUACAAAGAUUGAUUUGGUUUGGUUUGGUUUGGUUUUACUUACUCUCCUGAUGCAUUUGUAGACUAGAAAGGAAACUAGAGCUCCCAUUACAGGAGAGAUCACCCAAGAUGAAGCCACUUUAGCUAAAGAACUCCAGAACACGGCCCCAGCUCCACCGUAUACUAGUCCAAACCCAACCAUUGACCC